Corapipo altera (White-ruffed manakin) is the source of this 2030-nucleotide long non-coding RNA. RefSeq lists it as uncharacterized. NCBI's taxonomy places the organism in Eukaryota, Metazoa, Chordata, Aves, Passeriformes, Pipridae. The record is from RefSeq and is a predicted model, not a curated record. The transcript has 2 exons.
AUUAGGACUUUAUUUUGGAAACUUCCCAUUUUCUGAAGAGUUUUCUAUUUGAGUAGGCCAUAUGCCCAGUGCUUGUUCAACAAAAGCUGUCCAUGUUCCAGGCCAAGAGGCAGAGGACACGAUGGAUGGCAGUGGUGCCUUUAUGGCUGUUCAUCAUUUAGGAGAGCAAUAGUUAAGCAAAGAUGGCUUUAAAACAAAACAAAGAACUAACUUUGGUGACUUAUGCAGUGAAAAACUUUUCCCACUUCUUUAUCCCAGAACUUCAAGGUCUGAAAUGUUUUCAGAAAUGAAUGGGUAAAACAACCAGCUUGGACUCUGGGUUUUCAUAGUGAUAGAGUGGAAGCUUUCACAACCAUCCCAGUUUUGGACUGCAUCUGAUGCAGUCUCAUGGAGACAGGGGACUGUUAUUAGAGCUGCGUGAAUAAUCUACAGCAAGUUACUGAAUGGAAGUGUUUGGCCUUUUAUCUGUUUGCAAACUGUCUGUGAGCCUGCCUGGAUGUUCUUGAAUGUGUUUGUUGUUUGAAAUAAUGCUGCUUGUAGUUUCUGUGUAUAAUCAUUUAUUUAUAGCUUGCCUAUGAGCAUUUAGAUAGUCAAAAUGUCAUUUCUCUUCCAUGGCUACAUGACUGCAACCCUGAGAUUUUCAUCAAAAGUACCCACAGCCAGGAGUGGUAAAUUCACUUUCUGUGAAAACCUGUUGAAAUCUUAUUGGGAAAUGUAUGUUCGUCUGCAAUAUUUGCGGGGGAAAAAAAGGGAGGAAAAUGCAGUUAAAUAACAGGGGAUUUUGGUAAAACAUUGAAAGGUAUUUCCUAGAAUUCUUUCUAUGGCUAAUUGGAUGAUUUAUGUUUUUACGUUUUGCAGUCUGGAAACACUAAAUCAGAAGCAAGUUUGCUUAGAAGAUUUCUACUGAAACCAUACACAGUCCCCAUGCCCUAUGACUCUAAAGGUGUCUCUGCAUGCUGUAGUCCAGAUCUGAACUACUUCCAGACUCCAGAAGUUGUGUACUGAAACACUCAGCUCUCUGCCAAAGGACUGUUCAAAGGUUGAAAGAAAAGCUCCCUGCUUGGUUUCUGAGCAGGGCUGUCCCUGACGUAAAAGGCCACCCAGCUGUCAGGGUGAUGGUGUCCCCAGCACAGCCUGCUGCCUCGUUUGUUCCCUGAGCCACAGGUUUGGGCACCAGCGCCACAGGCAUGUCACUCAGCUGAGCUGGGCACAAAUGCCCACAGCUCACUGCUGCUCCUUGCCAAGCUCUCAGGAGAAUGGAGCGUACCCUUUCCAGGAGGAACCCAGUGUACCAGGGAUGUUUGCCAUGUGCUCACGGGGCAGAGUCAAGGACAAAGCAAACAUUUCACCCACGUACUUCACAAGCCACCAGAGCUUGCAGGGAUGCACCUGAAUCAGCCAGGCAGCCAAGCAGCAAUGAGGUUUUAUAACUAUUUUGCCCUCCAAAAAUUGGUACAUACUCAGUGCCUAGAGCACUCCCAUGCUGCCCUGUUGUGCCCACUUGUCCAGUAGCAUUGAAGCCAGGUCUUUGACAGCCAACAAGCUCUGCUAGCAGCUCUGAAAGUUUCUUUGGCAGCAGUGUCAGACUGCUUUCCAUCUGCACAGGCAGGAUUAAGGGAGCUUUGCAGGGCAAGGGGUGGCCCAGAAAAAACUCUCAUAUUUGUUUUCAUUCAUAGUAUUUCAGUUACCCUGCAUGGUUGGAUGGUUUUGUGAUAAGGACAUCUUGAGGGAUAAAUUGCAUAGGCGUAUUAAGGAAAAAAUAGUCAAUACUAUGCACAGGCUAAGUGCCUCUACCAAAAAUUGACAUGUAUUUUCAGGGUAGAAACAAUGUUUUGCAAGGAAAACAGGGCAUGAAUCCAUUUUGGUUGUCUGUAAAAAUGUCUUCUUCUGAAAGAAAUAUAGAAGAGAAAAUUUUUUACUGAAAACAUUUCCCUGUUCCUGAACCCUCUGUUUCCAAACAGUGUUGUUCUGAACUAUUGUAUGUGGGUAGAAGUUUUCAAAAUAUUAGAUCUCCUUUGGCUAACUGAAAA